GGAGGGUGGGCAGGACGGUAAUGCGCUAGUCUUGAAAACUAGUGAGCGCAAGCUCUAACAGGUUCGACCCCUGUACCCUCCGCCA
RNAcentral lists this transfer RNA (85 nucleotides) under Candidatus Woesebacteria bacterium. RNAcentral's name for it is "tRNA-Ser". It matches the Rfam family "tRNA". Rfam says of the family: Transfer RNA (tRNA) molecules are approximately 80 nucleotides in length. Their secondary structure includes four short double-helical elements and three loops (D, anti-codon, and T loops). Lineage: Bacteria; Candidatus Woeseibacteriota. The record is from RNAcentral.